Molecule: ribosomal RNA, 863 nt
Filed under: uncultured archaeon
Lineage: Archaea
Description: bacterial SSU rRNA
Rfam family: Archaeal small subunit ribosomal RNA
Source: RNAcentral
UACCUGCGGCCCGAGUUGUGACCAUUAUUAUUGAGUCUAAAGCGUUCGUAGCUGGUUUGGAUAGUUUGUGCUUAAAUCUUUUCGUUUAACGGAAAGGCACGGUAUAAAUACUUCUAGACUAGAGGCCGGGAGGGGAGAUGGGAACUUUUCGGGUAGGAGUAAAAUCCUUUAAUCCGAAAAAGACCACCAAUAGCGAAGGCACAUCUCCAGAACGGACCUGACGGUGAGGGACGAAGGCUAGGAGAACAAACCGGAUUAGAUACCCGGGUAGCCCUAGCAGUAAACGCUGCUUACUAUACGUUGCAUUUCCUUGAGGAAAUGCAGUGUGACAGCGAAGGCGUUAAGUAAGCCACUUGGGGAGUAUAAUCGCAAGGUCGAAACUUAAAGGAAUUGGCGGGGGAGCACAAAAACGGGUGAAAUUUGCGGUUUAAUUGGAUUCAACUCCGGGAAUCCUACCAGAAGCGACAGCAAUAUGAAGGUCAGUCUGAAGAACUUACCAAAUGCGCUGAAAGGUGUUGCAUGGCCAUCAUCAGUUAGUAUCUUGAGACGUCCCGUUAAGUCGGGUAACUAACAAGACCCUCUUCUAUAUUUGCUAACAUGCAAUCCGUUGCGAAUGGGCAAAAUAUAGAGACUGCUUUCGAAAGAAAGAGGAAGGUGAGGGCGACGGUAGGUCAGUACGACCCUAAUCCUCUGGGCUACACGCGAAUUGCAAUGGUAAAGGCAAUAGGAUGCCACUCCGAAAGGAGGAGCUAAUCCCCGAAUCUUUACCCUAGUUCGAAUCGAGGUCUGUAACUCGGCCUCGUGAAGGCGGAAUCCGUAGUAACCGCGUUUCAACAAAGCGCGGUGAAUACUUUCCUGCUCCU